RNAcentral lists this ribosomal RNA (250 nucleotides) under uncultured Methanomassiliicoccales archaeon. RNAcentral describes it as "partial 16S ribosomal RNA". It matches the Rfam family "Archaeal small subunit ribosomal RNA", at positions 474 to 727 of the family's 1478-position model. Lineage: Archaea; Methanobacteriati; Thermoplasmatota; Thermoplasmata; Methanomassiliicoccales. The record is from RNAcentral.
CACCGGCAGCUCAAGUGGUCGAUAUUAUUGAGCCUAAAACGUCCGUAGCCGGUCUUCUAAAUCCUUGGGUAAAUCGGGCAGCUUAACUGUCCGAAGUCCGGGGAGACUGGAAGACUUGGGACCGGGAGAGGUCAGAGGUACUUCUGGGGUAGGGGUAAAAUCCUGUAAUCCUGGAAGGACCACCGGUGGCGAAGGCGUCUGACUAGAACGGAUCCGACGGUGAGGGACGAAGCCCUGGGGCGCAAACGGG